RNAcentral lists this ribosomal RNA (314 nucleotides) under uncultured bacterium. RNAcentral's name for it is "partial 16S ribosomal RNA". It matches the Rfam family "Bacterial small subunit ribosomal RNA", at positions 495 to 807 of the family's 1533-position model. The record is from RNAcentral.
GUAUAAGAGACAGCAGUCGCCACGGUAAUACAGAGGGUGCGAGCGUUAAUCGGAUUUACUGGGCGUAAAGCGUGCGUAGGCGGCUUCUUAAGUCGGAUGUGAAAUCCCUGAGCUUAACUUAGGAAUUGCAUUCGAUACUGGGAAGCUAGAGUAUGGGAGAGGAUGGUAGAAUUCCAGGUGUAGCGGUGAAAUGCGUAGAGAUCUGGAGGAAUACCGAUGGCGAAGGCAGCCAUCUGGCCUAAUACUGACGCUGAGGUACGAAAGCAUGGGGAGCAAACAGGAUUAGAUACCCCGGUAGUCCCUGUCUCUUAUAC